This 8161-nucleotide long non-coding RNA is filed under the name Sus scrofa (pig). RNAcentral describes it as "lncRNA (ENSSSCG00040022466.1)". Lineage: Eukaryota; Metazoa; Chordata; Mammalia; Artiodactyla; Suidae. The record is from RNAcentral.
GAAUAAGAAGGUGGUAUAAUUGUAUUAUGAUGAGAGUACCUGCCCUUUGCCCAAGGUUGGCCGCGGGCAGGGACCUGAAUUAGGAAACCUGGGUGACUGCCCUACAUGACUUCCCUGCCCCCAGCCCUGGAAGGCCUGAGACUCGGCCUCUGUAAAAAGCCAGGCUGGAACGCUUCCCUCUUUUGAAACGUUUGUGGGUGAAUGAAUGUCAACACUCAGGUUAAAAGCAGGGUGUGUUUAAACACACACUGGGAACAUCAGCCCCCACCCUGCUCCUAAGGAGAGGAGUAAGGUCUCCUGACUGCAUUUGUGUCAAGGUUAGCAUGGCUCCCAGGAAGGAUCUGGGAAGGUGAAGCCAGGUGUGACCGUCAGCACUGAAGAGUGGCCAAGGAAGCUUCUUAAAGUCCCGGGCUUAAGAUUCCUGCCCUUGCUUCCUAGAGGGAAGAUGAAAAGCCAUCCCAUGUUCCUCUCUUAGCGCUCCUUAUCUACUCCAUAGUGACAUCAAUAAACAAUAAAAUCACAGGCUCCAGAUUAAGUAAAUCCAUUUUCCUUGCAUGUGGUACAACACAGUUUGAAAAUAAAAAACAAAUCAAAUGCUCUGAAAGCAAAAUACAUGCAAAUUAAGGUUUGAAGAAAUCUGUCAGCAUCUGAGCAUUUUAUUUUGCUUUCUUCUCACCUUUAAAUUAAACUAGCACCGUUUUCUGAAGCUUAGAUGUGAAUCACAGCCCCUUCUGGAAUGAAUGAUGGUGGCUUGUGGCCUGACCUAAGUAGAUGACCCCACACAAGCAGGAGGAGAGGCUCUCCUCCAAUGAGGUAGGGGCUGCUGAGGACACAGCCUCUUGAGAGCAGACUGCCAGAUGUUGAAGUGCCCAGGUGAGGAUGCCAGGAGCCAAGGAAAUGAGAACAGACACCUGCAGAGUCUAUUUUUCCUUUUGAUGAGCCCAUCAUUGUAUUUUUUAAGUUGUGUUAUUGUUCUCUACAGCUCUGAUUAGACCCCUAGCCUGGGAACCUCCAUAUGCCACAGGAGUGGCCCAUGAAAUGUCAAAAAAGACCAAAAAAAAAAAAAAAAUCUUAAAUGGUACUAUAGUGUAUAAUUAAGAGUGUGGGCUUAGGACUAGAGGGUGCUGGUUGAGACCCUUGUCCCUAGAAGUUUGACCUUGGGAAAAGUUACUUAAAUCCUCUGAACUACAGUUUCCUUUCUUAUCAUUUGGGGACAGUAACACCCAACACUUGGGGGUUUGCAUCAGGUCAUAUGAAAUAAUAUAUGAAAUGGAUUUAGCAAAGUGGCACAUGGUAAGCUUAUUAUUAAUGAAAAGUCGUCCAGUUAUCUCAAAGGAGAAGUCAGAGGCCUUAGAAUAAGCACAGACCCUUGUGGUGGACACUCGUUCUUUCCUUGUGACUCUGGAAUUUCAUGGAUGUUUGUUCGGAAGCUUUUCCCCCAGCAGUUGCAGAAGAGGCUAAGAGAGCCUGGCCAGACCUGGGGCUGCCCCAUGAUGGUCAGACCCUGUUGUAUCUGUGCUCAUUCUCUGUCUCCUGGCUUCCUGGAGGGAGGAGAGGGGAGAAGAAUCUGGUGGUGUACUAAGCCCACAUAAGGGAGUCAUUUGUAGUCAGGCCCCACAGAUGGGACCAGACAUACCCACCUCACAUAGAGAGUAUUCAUUUUUGAGAGAGUUGGACAUUUCACUUGGCAAUGCCCAAACUUUGGCUGUCAAGGAUUACUGGAAGUGACCCUUUGAAGAACAUAGUGAAGUAAGCAGAAAAGCUACUCUCAGCUAGAGCGAAUGGCCCAGGGCCCCCGAUCCAACCUAGGGGUGAAGGCUUUAGUAGGCAUCUCAGGCCCUCUGGCCCCAUAGCUCUGUUUAAAGUCUGUCAGCUCCAGGGCUGGAACAUCUGGGCCUGGACUCUAUGGCUCCCUGGGCUUCCUCCUGGAGCCCACAGGGUGAAACCCAUUUGCACCCUCUGCUUCACAAGGAGAAUCCAGGGAGGGUCUCUCCCACCUCCAGGACCUGGGGGAUUAAAUUUUGUUACUCAUUCCUGGCACAUUUCCCAGGCUGAGUAUCACUUUUCCGAUGGCAUCAGGGCCAAAUUCUUUUUGCUGCCAUAAAGUAUACCCUUAGAGCCUUCUAGCAACAUCCCUUUAAACCCAGCUGUUCAGCUUGGUUAUUUUCCAUGAUCACACUUUGAGAUUUUUAUUUCCAAAAUCUCCUUGGAAAUUAUCUAGCUGUUAAAUUAAGGGGGGGGGGCAUUUUUUUGCUGUUUUGUUUGCAGAAGUAAACAAUUGAAGUGGAGGACAAGGAACCAAGCAAUUUUGCAGAAAGUUCUGAAUUUUAGUCUAACUAAAAAGUCUCCUUUAUUUUGAGGAACAGGAAGGACCUGUCCUUCCAUCUGCUGCUCUGCACAGGUGCCCCCACGCAGAGGAUGCUGGGUUUUCUGUAGGUGAAGGUGGAGCCUGUUCUCUGUCUCCUCUCCCAACUGUGUCUUGGAGGUUUGCUUUCAUUCCCUCGCUCAGUCUCCACCCCCUGGCUUUGCUGUUCUCUUCUUGACUUUCCUCGGUGGCUUUCUGUAGUCUGCAGUUUAUUUCUCUAACAUCACUGUUUCUGCUUCUCCCUUCUUUCCUUUGUGUCUCUAUUUUUCUGGUUUGCUAAGUAUCUCUACUGUUUGUUUGUUUUUGUUUUUGUUUUUUCACUAGCCAAUGCCCAGAAAACCAGUUCCUUGAGAAGCAUGUUGUUCUGAACCCCUUCCCCAUUUCAGAUCUUCUCCUGAAGCCGCCCUUGUUUCUCCAGAGAAACAGGCAUAAGCAUUCACAGCUCACUUUUUGUUUAAUACUGUAGCUCCUUCCAAAGAAAGAAGAAAUUUGGGAAGCACGGCAGCUCCACUUUUCCUUGUCCUCCAGCUGCCAGCAAUCUCAGCAGAACUCAGAACACCCCAGGGUUUCAGGUCUCUUAAACUCCUUAGAUCUGCAGUUUCAGGAAGUUUGCCCCAGGUGGCUGAAAACAUCAACCAAAUCCUCUCCCCUCCAACUUCAUUUUUUUUUUUUUUUCUUGGAAGGAGGGAUGGGGGAAUCCACCCUGAAAUAUUUAUCUAGGCAGUUUGUUCUUCCUAAGUAAAAGCACACUCUAGGCACUGUGGUCAAGUGACCUGUACUCGCUCACUCGCUCACUGAUUUGGUGAGUAUUUGCUGCACACCCCCUGCGUGUCCGGCAUGCUGUGAGGCUCUGGGGAGCCAGUGGAGAAUAUACUGGGCUCUGCAGGAACUGUCCCGUCUGCCUGUCGACCUGGGGGUGGAAGUUCAGGCAGGGAUUUGGCCUUUUACAGCAUCAGUAUUCUUGCGGGCCCAUUAGUGUCCCAUUGUUCUCAUUUUCCUGCCAAUACUUGAGAUGCAAGAGGCAGCGCAUGUUUUUCUGAGGAUUUUAUUUCAUCUGCCCAGGAUGAACAAGUCCCAGCCAAUCCUUCCCUCCACCCUGCCUCUUGGUCUUCCUCAUUCUUCUCUCCCCAGCACCCUUGGUAGCUCCAAUAGCCAAAGACUGGCUGGACUCUAGCGCAUUCAUGGAGAGUUUUUUUUCAAGGUUGGGUGAAGUGGAGAAGGAAGGGGGAUGGAGACCACAAUGGCUGAGUUGCUGUGUCAGGCGCUGUGCCCUAUGGUUUUACAAAUUAGUGUCAUUUAACCCUGUUCUCAGCCUACCUGUAAGAUAGAUAAUAUCAUUCUCACGGUGAUGAAGAAGAAAUGGACGUUCAGAAAAGGUCAGACAGAUUGUCCAAGAGUAGACAUUUAGUAUAUCAUGGAACUGUGCCUAGAUCCCAGGACCAUCUGAAUCCAAAAGUCAGGUUCUUUCCUCUACAGCCUCGUGUGUGUGUGUGUGUGUGUGUGUGUGUGUGAACGCUUGUGCAUGUGCACAUGUGUGUGUUCAGGGAGAGGAUGAACUGAGCAGAAUGAAUCAUCCCGGUUUCUUUUUUUCCCACCUUGCAUCUUGGACCUGAAAAAUGCCUUUCCAUCCUGCUGCUGAUCAGGAUGCAGCCACGUGUCAGGGACAGAUGAGGCAUUAAGAAACGAGGUCUCUGGCUGCCUCCCCAGAAGGACUUCUAUUCACUUGCACAUGGCUUCACAGGCUCCAGAGCCAGACUCUUUCAUUUGCUAGCUGUUACCUUGGGCAAGUUUCUUACACUGUGUGUACUUCAGUUUCCUCUUCUGUAAAGGGGAUAAUAAUAAAAAUAUUGUCCUCAUUCCUGGAGUAGUCACAUUCGUAGAGACAGAAGGCAGAAUGGUGUUUGCCAGGGACUGGAGAGGGAUGGAAAGUUGUCGAAUGAAUACAGGGUUUCAGUGGGGAGGAUGAAAACAUCGGAGGUAGAUGGUGGUGGGGAUGGUUGCACAAGAGUAUGAAUGUAUUAAAUGCACUGAAUUGAAAACAGUCAAGACGGUAAGUUUUAUGUUACAUGUAUUUUACCGCACAAAAAAAGGGUACUUUCCUUAAAGGAUGUGGGGGAAGCUUGAGUGAGCUGGUGUAUGUUAAACCCUUAGAAUAGAGCCCAUAGUAAAUGCUUCGUUAAAAGGAGCUCUUAUCCGCUCCAGCCCUUGGCUUUCCCAGAGGGGUCCGCAGAGCCAAGGACAGAGCCUUGCAGGGCACUUCUGUCACCUGGCUUGGGGUUGCCAUGAGAAGGGGGUCUCACAGCCAGUGUCUGGAGCAGUUUGUGGUUGGGCAGCAGUCAGGACAGGGGCUGGUGACUGUGCAUUUGAAUGGAAGAGCCCCUGCUGCCCGUGAGAAGCAUUAAGUUCUAAUUGGAACACUGCUUGCUAAAUUGCCCCAUUUUGCACAGACUCACACCAUGAGGUGCAGGAGGGUCUGAGGCCAGGCUGAAUUUGGUGGUUAAGCCAAAACAAACCCAGGGACGAAAGCAUCCAAAUAAGUGGCAUCGACAUGGUAUAGCUGACGAGAUAAUAGUGUUUUAAUGUUUUCACUGGCCUUGCCCACAGAUAUUUACGGCGUGUCUCUGGGAAAGGGAGAAUGCAGAAUGCCUAGAGCUCAGCUCAGAGAACAGCAAGGUGGCACGGAACGGAACGGAGAAGGGAGAGCAGAUACCCCCCACCCCCACCCCCGUGUCAUGCUGGAUCUGGGGACAGGAGUGCCCUCAGACUCCCUGGCUGGAAUUGUCCCCAAACAGCCCUGUUCACUUCAGAACAGUAAUGGUUAUUGUGUGAUGCACAGAGGCCUCUGAGAGCUCAGGAGGAAGCAGACAACCCAGCCCAGGGCAGGGAGCAGUCGGGGAAAAGAACUUCCCCGUCCCUUUUCCAGCCUCCAGGGACCCUUCCUAGUCCACCGCGGCCUCCACGCUCCCCCAGUUCUGAACCCCGAGGACCCUUCCCCUGCGCAGACAGCUCUCCCAGGCCCUUCUAGCUCGGGGCCCUAAGACUUAAGGUCUCUUCUAGUGCUUCCCAACCUCUCUGUGGUGGUGAAAGACCAGGUUUCUGUUCUAUUUUGGUUUUAAUUUCCAAUCCAUUGUGAACAAAUACUUUUAUAAAAUGCAGUGAGAUUAAUCACUGAACUCAUUUAACAAAUAAAGAAGCAACAAAUACAAAAUACAAGGCCACUUUUACAUUUAUGAUGUCCGGCAGACAUGAAUUUCCCUCGUCAAAUUGCUGUAAGAUUUCUAGAUGCUUACUCUCCAUUUCCGUGCCUCUCGCGGCACAGACUGGCCACAGAAUGGCUGUGUGUGCGCCGACUCCCUGGGGCCCACUUUGCAUUCCUUCCACUCACUGCCUUAGGUUGCUGGUCCCCAGGAUGGGGUGCCACUGGGGUACAGGACGAAAAUACUGGCACCUCUUUAUAUUUCUAUUGUAUCCUCUUUUUUUGGUAUUUGAAUUUCUUGUUUUUUAAAUUGAGAUAUAAUUAUUAUACAACACUAUGUUAGUUCCAGGUGUACACAUAGUGGUUGGAUAUUUUUACGUAUUACAAAGUGAUCACCGCUGUAAGUCUAGUUACCAUCUGUCACCAUACAGUUAUUCUAAUAUUAUUGACUAUGUUCCAAUGCUGAACAUUUUAUCCCCCCAAUUUAUUUUAUAACUGGGGGAUUUUGUACCUCUUAAUCCCAUUCACCUAUUUCACUCAUGCCCUCCACCUGCAACUCGGGCAACCACCUGUUUGUUUAAUUUAUCUGUAAGUCUGUAUCUGUUUUGUUUGUUCAUUUUUUUUGUUCUUUUAGAUUCCAAAUAUAAGUGAAUUCAUAUGGUAUUUGUCUUUCUCUAUCUGACUUAUUUCACUUAGCAUAAUGCUCUUGAGGUCCGCUCUUGUUACAAGUGACAAGAUCCCAUCCCUUUUUAUGGCUAAGUAAUAUUCCAUUGUGUGUGUGUGUGUGUGUGUGUGUGUGUGUGUGUGUGUGUGUGUGUGUGUGUGAUCUUCUUUAUCCAUUCAUCUACGGAUGACACUUCAGUUGCUUCCAUAUCUUGCCGCUUGUAAAUGAUACUGCAGUGACCAUAGUACAUAUAUCUUUUCAAAUUAGUGCUUUCAUUUUCUUCAGAUAAAUACCCAGGAUUUGAAUUGCUGGAUCAUGUGGUAGUUCUGUUUUUAAUUUUUUGAGGAAUUUCCAUACUGUUUUUCAUAAUGGCUGUACCAAUUUGCAUUCCCACUAAAAGCGCACAAGGGCUUCCUUUUUUUCUACAUUUUUGCCAAUGCUUGUUAUUUGUUGUCUUUUCUAGAACUGACAUUCCAACAGGUAUGCAGUGAUAACUCAUUGUGGCUUUUAUCUGUAUUUCCCUGGGGAUUAGUGAUGUUGAGCAUCACUUCAUGUGUCUGUUGACCACUUGUAUAUCCUCUUUCAAAAAAUGUCUGCUUAGGCCCUCUGCCCAGUUUUUAAUCAGGUGGGUUUUUUUUUUAAUUUUGAAUUGUAUUAGUUCUUUGUAUAUUUUGGAUAUUAACCCAUUGUCAGAUAUAUUAUUUACAAAUAUCUUCUCCCAUUCAGUAGGCAGCCUUUUCUAUCACAUCCUCUUUCAAUUUUUAUUUUUGUGUAUAUUUGAAGGCACAAUAGUAAAAUAAGACAUAUAUAAUUAAUUUACUUAUAGCAUGUUCUAUAUUAUAUAAAUUAUAUACAGUGAGUUGUGCACGGAAUCUUUUUACUGAGGGAAUUAUGUGAUAAAAAAUAUUUGAAGUCUACAGCCCUCAACUCCCCGUGUGAAAGUUAUUAUUGUUAUCUCUCUUUGAGGCAUCUUUUGUCUUGUAUUGACCUCCUGUUAUUUAAGAUUUCAUGUAUUUGUGCCUGUCCUAAAAUUAUAAUAAAACUAUAAAUUUUUUGAGAGGAGGAGCUACACCUUAUUUAGGCUUACUUAUUGAGCUGAGAAAAGCAUGAAUUCAAUGCCAAUCAAUGUGCUAGGAUAUGGGAAUACUAAGAUGCCUAGGAAUUAAUCUCCAUUCUCUAAAAGUGAGCCUGUCUAAGCUGAGGACAGCCAAUUUACAAACUAAUAAUUUCACUUAGUGUAACAUGGGCAAUCCAGUAAGCAUGUGUAGGUAACCAACUUGAGGCAUAAAGAGUGGUUAAUUCUCUUGGAGGUGAUUCUCAGAAUCCACCCAGAGGAACUGAGAAGAUAUUGAGGGAUAACCAGGGUCUGCGUGGAUGACAGAGGAGGCAGGAUAUUUUGGCUAAUAUUAGUACACGAAAAGGCAUACCCUAAAUGUCCAUCAACAGAUGAAUGUAUUAAGAUGUGGUAUAUAUACACAAUGGAAUACUACUCAGCUGUAAAAAAGAACAAAAUAAUGCCAUUUGCAGCAGCAUGGAUGGAACUAGAGACUCCCAUACAAAGUAAAGUAAGUCAAAAAGAGAAAGAGAAAUACCAUAUGAUAUCACUUAUAUCUGGAAUCUAAUAUACAGCACAAAUGAACCUUUCCACAGUAAAGAAAUGCAUGGACUUGGAGAACAGACUUGUGGUUGCCAGGGGGAAUGGGGAGGGAGUGGGAUGGCCUGGGAGCUUGGGGUUAAAAGAUGCACACUAUUGUAUUUGGAGUGGACCAGCAAUGAGAUCCUGCUGUAUAGCACAGGGAACUAUAUCUAGUCACUUAUGAUAGAACAUGAUGGAGGAUAAACUGAGAAAAAGCAUGUGUGUGUGUGUGUGUGUGUGUGUGUGACUGGGUCACUUUGCUGUACAGUAGAAAAUUGACAGAACACUGUAAACCAACCA